RNAcentral lists this long non-coding RNA (514 nucleotides) under Triticum aestivum (bread wheat). Its description in RNAcentral is "long non-coding RNA (TAES_LNC001900)". Lineage: Eukaryota; Viridiplantae; Streptophyta; Magnoliopsida; Poales; Poaceae. The record is from RNAcentral.
CUGAGAUCAUCAGUGCGCACGGCGAUUUCUCCUGUGAAUUUCCUACCGGCGCUAACCCACCCAGCGGGCCAACACGAAGAUGUCAUCUCACCUAGGGGAGUAAAAUCCUCCCAUUCUGGUUGGCAUAUCCAAAUCACGUAAGAAAGAAGGCCCUCUCCUUUCCAAGGCAUCAGGCCAUUACGAUGUCGCGUUUCAUCAGCACCGUCCGGUAGGGGCACACCCCCCUGUACCUUGAUGUACACCCCCUGUACCUUGAUGUGCGCAAUGGCUCGCAGCUCGACUCCAUAUAUGGUUCAGCCUACCCACCUCAUGCUUCAGGGGAGUUUAUUUCCACCGUGCGGAGAUGCAUUCGGCAGGCUGACUCUUAUCUGUACCGUUUAGGCUCAGACGUGGUCUGUAUCUCUCCGUAGAAUGAUCAUGGUGCCUGGCCAAUGAAGGAAAAUGAGUUGGCCUUUUGUAUUUCGCCACAUGCUUGCCGCCUGUGCGCUAUGCUCUUUUUGGAACUGACGUGAUA